UUGGGUGCUCAGAGCCCCCGGGACAAGAGUGCCUCAAAGGCUCCCGCAGAAGUGCCCGCCGUCUCCCAGCCGCUGCGACCCGCGCAGCUACAGCGGACGCCGACGCCUUGGGGCACACGCGGCUGCACGGGGUUGGCCAGCGCGAGGCGCAGCCGUCGGGACAGUGGUCCGCGGCGGCAGCCCCCUCCCGCCGCCCCGGGCUGUCGGUCUCCGAGUCGCGGCAGCGCGGCCUCGGGGCAGCUGCGCGCAGCCGGACUCGGCCGUCAGCGCCUCCGCCCGACCCUUCCCCUCCGGCCCAGGCCGCCCCUCGCCGGCGGCCCCUCCGCGUGGCCGGACACUUGGCAACUUACUGGGGCAGUGCUAGGGCCGCGCCGAGGGGGCGGUGGUGGGCGAGCGGCUGGAGCGUGUCGGGGGCCGCAGCUCCGGGAGGCUGAAGGAGCUGCCGCCGCCUCGCUGGUCCGCGCGGAGAGGAGCGCCCGGGCCGCUGCGCUGCAGAAGGCGGGCUGGGCACGUGGGCGCCCCUGUGUAGCCGUGCGGGGGGCGGAGCGCGGGGCAGGGCGGUGCCGCCUCCUCCCUCCCCCGCGCCGGCCGCCCAGCGUCUGGACCGUCCCGAGCGCUCUGGCCAAUCCUCCGGGUAGGCGGGUAGGCGGCGUCCGGCCGCUGCGCCGCCGGGAGUCUCUGAUAAGGCUGAAGUCACAAUGUGAAACUGUUAAUUUUAAUCCGAAAGGAGGCAAAACAUUGGCCUGAAUUUAACAAAUCCGAUUAAAGAUUUGGGACUUCACUCCAAAAAAUGUUACAUGCACAAAACCUCGACUAUUUCCGGAGUUCAGCUACCUCCAUGAAGCCAUCAAUGGACCUCACUGAAGAGCUAGAAGUCUAAAUAGCACCGUGACUGCAAGGAUAUUUAUUAUCUGUUCUAGUAAAUGUCCUCAGUAAUAGAGUUUUUAUCAACAUAAACUUAGUUUCACAGUAUAAAACAGAUUCCUUGUGCAACUAAUCAUUAAUGAUAUAGAGGGAAAUGAUACAUGUUGAUCGUGACACCAAAUUUACUCAGUCCCAUAAGGGUUAGGAGGCAUUGCACCAAGGGGUGAAGGAGACUCAAGACUUGAGACUUUGUCUAAUUUCUAAGGGCAAGGGACCUCAUAUAAAAAUUUCCAUUUUUUUUUUUUUAAGAAACACAAAGUUGCUAUUUUAAAUUUAAGGAAUUAUUUCCCCAUAUAUUUGUCCUCAAGGGACAGUCUGUGAUGAGGUUGCACCACAGUGAUUUUGAGAUAAACUAAUCUAUCUGACAUUUAGAAACUGCCAAUUUAGUCAGAAUACCAAUCUUUGAGUUUAUC
This 1337-nucleotide long non-coding RNA is filed under the name Ailuropoda melanoleuca (giant panda). Its description in RNAcentral is "lncRNA (ENSAMEG00000024766.1)". Lineage: Eukaryota; Metazoa; Chordata; Mammalia; Carnivora; Ursidae. The record is from RNAcentral.